AUCCAGUUGAUGAGUCCCAAAUAGAACGAAACGCUCGUUCUGGAU
Molecule: non-coding RNA, 45 nt
Filed under: Schistosoma haematobium
Lineage: Eukaryota; Metazoa; Platyhelminthes; Trematoda; Strigeidida; Schistosomatidae
Source: RNAcentral